CACCCAUAGCACCAACCGUCCCCAGAGCACCACCAGGACUCCUGGCACACGUAUAAAGGCAGACAGGCCAGGACACCCCUGGCAGUGUGCUGCGCAUCGCCGGGUGUUGGACUUCUUGUGGCAGAGACAUCAGGAGCCACCAUGUCAGGUCGAGGCUUCCAGGGGCUGAAGGAGCAGGCAGAAGGAGCUGCAAAAGAUGCUGCCAGUGCGUUGGGACGGGCCACUCAGGAUGCAGUCAGCCAGAUCACAGACGCCAGCCAGAAAGCUGUGGAUAAGGCUUGUAAGACAGCGCAGGAUGGUGUAGAAAAAGCAGCCGGACAAGCUGCAGAAGCAGUGUCUGGCUUUGGGAAAAAAUGUGGAUUUAAGAAAUGAUGUAGAUGUAAGCAAACAGUAUUGCAUGUAAAAUUCACCCUUGCAAUUCCCGACUCUUCUGUUUAGGAAGCAAAAGCUAUUUGAGAUCUGGAUAACUGCUCUCUCCCCACAUGCAAAAUCAUAAGGCAGAAUGCUCUCCUCAUCCUUCCCAUAGGGAAAAACACAUCUCGGUGUGUCUCGUAACAUCUGCUCACCAUGUUCUGUUCAAAGUGGACCAUAAGGCUUUGGCAGUUACUGCCCUGCUCUUGUAGCAGUGCAACAGUGAUUGCCACAUCUGUUCAAUGUACUCACAGAAACAGCAGAGCUGGUACUAUUCUGGAGUACAGGAAUAUCCGUGUGAUUAAACUCAGUUCCCUUCCAGUAAUGAGAAGUUAAGCUGCUGUUGUAUUUCCUAUCAGUUGUUUGCUAAUUCCAUUUUGCUGUAUUUCCAGAGUAACAUAAAUAAAAUUACUAUUAAGACUUUCACUACUAGGA
Long non-coding RNA from Coturnix japonica (Japanese quail), 846 nucleotides. RefSeq lists it as uncharacterized. Lineage: Eukaryota; Metazoa; Chordata; Aves; Galliformes; Phasianidae. The record is from RefSeq and is a predicted model, not a curated record.